This 500-nucleotide ribosomal RNA is filed under the name uncultured bacterium. RNAcentral's name for it is "partial 16S ribosomal RNA". It matches the Rfam family "Bacterial small subunit ribosomal RNA", at positions 30 to 523 of the family's 1533-position model. The record is from RNAcentral.
AUUGAACGCUGGCGGCAUGCCUUACACAUGCAAGUCGAACGGCAGCACGGGAGCAAUCCUGGUGGCGAGUGGCGAACGGGUGAGUAAAGUAUCGGAACGUGCCCAGUCGUGGGGGAUAACGUAGCGAAAGUUACGCUAAUACCGCAUACGAUCUAUGGAAGAAAGCGGGGGAUCGCAAGACCUCGCGCGAUUGGAGCGGCCGAUAUCAGAUUAGGUAGUUGGUGGGGUAAAGGCUCACCAAGCCGACGAUCUGUAGCUGGUCCGAGAGGACGACCAGCCACACUGGGACUGAGACACGGCCCAGACUCCUACGGGAGGCAGCAGUGGGGAAUUUUGGACAAUGGGCGAAAGCCUGAUCCAGCCAUGCCGCGUGCAGGAUGAAGGCCUUCGGGUUGUAAACUGCUUUUGUACGGAACGAAAAGGUUUGGGCUAAUAAGCUGAGCUCAUGACGGUACCGUAAGAAUAAGCACCGGCUAACUACGUGCCAGCCGCCGCCGUAA